Molecule: ribosomal RNA, 1556 nt
Filed under: Escherichia coli
Lineage: Bacteria; Pseudomonadati; Pseudomonadota; Gammaproteobacteria; Enterobacterales; Enterobacteriaceae
Description: bacterial SSU rRNA
Rfam family: Bacterial small subunit ribosomal RNA
Source: RNAcentral
UUAAAUUGAAGAGUUUGAUCAUGGCUCAGAUUGAACGCUGGCGGCAGGCCUAACACAUGCAAGUCGAACGGUAACAGGAAGCAGCUUGCUGCUUUGCUGACGAGUGGCGGACGGGUGAGUAAUGUCUGGGAAACUGCCUGAUGGAGGGGGAUAACUACUGGAAACGGUAGCUAAUACCGCAUAACGUCGCAAGACCAAAGAGGGGGACCUUAGGGCCUCUUGCCAUCGGAUGUGCCCAGAUGGGAUUAGCUUGUUGGUGGGGUAACGGCUCACCUAGGCGACGAUCCCUAGCUGGUCUGAGAGGAUGACCAGCCACACUGGAACUGAGACACGGUCCAGACUCCUACGGGAGGCAGCAGUGGGGAAUAUUGCACAAUGGGCGCAAGCCUGAUGCAGCCAUGCCGCGUGUAUGAAGAAGGCCUUCGGGUUGUAAAGUACUUUCAGCGGGGAGGAAGGGAGUAAAGUUAAUACCUUUGCUCAUUGACGUUACCCGCAGAAGAAGCACCGGCUAACUCCGUGCCAGCAGCCGCGGUAAUACGGAGGGUGCAAGCGUUAAUCGGAAUUACUGGGCGUAAAGCGCACGCAGGCGGUUUGUUAAGUCAGAUGUGAAAUCCCCGGGCUCAACCUGGGAACUGCAUCUGAUACUGGCAAGCUUGAGUCUCGUAGAGGGGGGUAGAAUUCCAGGUGUAGCGGUGAAAUGCGUAGAGAUCUGGAGGAAUACCGGUGGCGAAGGCGGCCCCCUGGACGAAGACUGACGCUCAGGUGCGAAAGCGUGGGGAGCAAACAGGAUUAGAUACCCUGGUAGUCCACGCCGUAAACGAUGUCGACUUGGAGGUUGUGCCCUUGAGGCGUGGCUUCCGGAGCUAACGCGUUAAGUCGACCGCCUGGGGAGUACGGCCGCAAGGUUAAAACUCAAAUGAAUUGACGGGGGCCCGCACAAGCGGUGGAGCAUGUGGUUUAAUUCGAUGCAACGCGAAGAACCUUACCUGGUCUUGACAUCCACGGAAGUUUUCAGAGAUGAGAAUGUGCCUUCGGGAACCGUGAGACAGGUGCUGCAUGGCUGUCGUCAGCUCGUGUUGUGAAAUGUUGGGUUAAGUCCCGCAACGAGCGCAACCCUUAUCCUUUGUUGCCAGCGGUCCGGCCGGGAACUCAAAGGAGACUGCCAGUGAUAAACUGGAGGAAGGUGGGGAUGACGUCAAGUCAUCAUGGCCCUUACGACCAGGGCUACACACGUGCUACAAUGGCGCAUACAAAGAGAAGCGACCUCGCGAGAGCAAGCGGACCUCAUAAAGUGCGUCGUAGUCCGGAUUGGAGUCUGCAACUCGACUCCAUGAAGUCGGAAUCGCUAGUAAUCGUGGAUCAGAAUGCCACGGUGAAUACGUUCCCGGGCCUUGUACACACCGCCCGUCACACCAUGGGAGUGGGUUGCAAAAGAAGUAGGUAGCUUAACCUUCGGGAGGGCGCUUACCACUUUGUGAUUCAUGACUGGGGUGAAGUCGUAACAAGGUAACCGUAGGGGAACCUGCGGUUGGAUCACCUCCUUACCUUAAAGAAGC